Molecule: ribosomal RNA, 1443 nt
Filed under: uncultured organism
Description: SSU rRNA
Rfam family: Bacterial small subunit ribosomal RNA
Source: RNAcentral
GGCGGCGUGCUUAACACAUGCAAGUCGAACGGAAAGGCCCUGCUUUUGUGGGGUGCUCGAGUGGCGAACGGGUGAGUAACACGUGAGUAACCUGCCCUUGACUUUGGGAUAACUUCAGGAAACUGGGGCUAAUACCGGAUAGGAGCUCCUGCUGCAUGGUGGGGGUUGGAAAGUUUCGGCGGUUGGGGAUGGACUCGCGGCUUAUCAGCUUGUUGGUGGGGUAGUGGCUUACCAAGGCUUUGACGGGUAGCCGGCCUGAGAGGGUGACCGGCCACAUUGGGACUGAGAUACGGCCCAGACUCCUACGGGAGGCAGCAGUGGGGAAUAUUGCACAAUGGGCGGAAGCCUGAUGCAGCAACGCCGCGUGCGGGAUGACGGCCUUCGGGUUGUAAACCGCUUUCGCCUGUGACGAAGCGUGAGUGACGGUAAUGGGUAAAGAAGCACCGGCUAACUACGUGCCAGCAGCCGCGGUGAUACGUAGGGUGCGAGCGUUGUCCGGAUUUAUUGGGCGUAAAGGGCUCGUAGGUGGUUGAUCGCGUCGGAAGUGUAAUCUUGGGGCUUAACCCUGAGCGUGCUUUCGAUACGGGUUGACUUGAGGAAGGUAGGGGAGAAUGGAAUUCCUGGUGGAGCGGUGGAAUGCGCAGAUAUCAGGAGGAACACCAGUGGCGAAGGCGGUUCUCUGGGCCUUUCCUGACGCUGAGGAGCGAAAGCGUGGGGAGCGAACAGGCUUAGAUACCCUGGUAGUCCACGCUGUAAACGGUGGGUACUAGGUGUGGGGUCCAUUCCACGGGUUCCGUGCCGUAGCUAACGCUUUAAGUACCCCGCCUGGGGGGUACGGCCGCAAGGCUAAAACUCAAAGGAAUUGACGGGGCCCCGCACAAGCGGCGGAGCAUGCGGAUUAAUUCGAUGCAACGCGUAGAACCUUACCUGGGUUUGACAUGGAUCGGGAGCGCUCAGAGAUGGGUGUGCCUCUUUUGGGGUCGGUUCACAGGUGGUGCAUGGCUGUCGUCAGCUCGUGUCGUGAGAUGUUGGGUUAAGUCCCGCAACGAGCGCAACCCUUGUUCACUGUUGCCAGCACGUUAUGGUGGGGACUCAGUGGAGACCGCCGGGGUCAACUCGGAGGAAGGUGGGGAUGACGUCAAGUCAUCAUGCCCCUUAUGUCCAGGGCUUCACGCAUGCUACAAUGGCUGGUACAGAGAGUGGCGAGCCUGUGAGGGUGAGCGAAUCUCGGAAAGCCGGUCUCAGUUCGGAUUGGGGUCUGCAACUCGACCUCAUGAAGUCGGAGUCGCUAGUAAUCGCAGAUCAGCAACGCUGCGGUGAAUACGUUCCCGGGGCUUGUACACACCGCCCGUCAAGUCAUGAAAGUUGGUAACACCCGAAGCCGGUGGCCUAACCGUUGUGGGGGAGCCGUCGAAGGUGGGACUGGUGAUUAGGACUAAGUCG